RNAcentral lists this ribosomal RNA (301 nucleotides) under uncultured bacterium. Its description in RNAcentral is "partial 16S ribosomal RNA". It matches the Rfam family "Bacterial small subunit ribosomal RNA", at positions 509 to 807 of the family's 1533-position model. The record is from RNAcentral.
CAGUAGCCACGGUAAUACGAAGGGGGCUAGCGUUGUUCGGAAUUACUGGGCGUAAAGCGCACGUAGGCGGACAUUUAAGUCAGGUGUGAAAUCCCGGGGCUCAACCCCGGAACUGCCUUUGAUACUGGGUGUCUAGAGUAUGGAAGAGGUGAGUGGAAUUCCGAGUGUAGAGGUGAAAUUCGUAGAUAUUCGGAGGAACACCAGUGGCGAAGGCGGCUCACUGGUCCAUUACUGACGCUGAGGUGCGAAAGCGUGGGGAGCAAACAGGAUUAGAUACCCCAGUAGUCCCUGUCUCUUAUAC